UUUUCUUUCGUUCAUUCUUUCAAGAACUUUUCAGCUCUUAAGAUAUCAAACAUUUCAAAAACUAGGGGAAAAAAGACAUAAUUGAAGAUGCAAUAAAUCAAGACAUCAUCACAAAAACCACACACCUUUACUCAUUUUAACCGCCGAAUUUCCUUUCUUCAUUUGUGAAACUGUGGCUGCUUUUUGAGUUAAACACGUUUACAGCACAAAGGAAGUUGGGCCCGUGAAUUAUAUCCAUAAUAGAAGAAAACAGGUUAGUUUGUUUACAUUAGUUUAAAAACAUUUCUAGAAGUUAUUGUGAAAAACUCAAGAGGGAAAUUAAAUCACAACACCCCUCCCCUCAGUCAAAAAAAGUGAAUGAUACCAAUAGAAAUGGCAAAAAUGUUGUUUCUGAAGGCAACGCUGACCUUUCAGUCCUGACAGUCAUAUGGUUUCAGUCAGCUGUUUGAUUUGAAGAUGUCGUUUUUCAAAAUAAAACCUUGAUCAAUUAAAAAAAAUCUUUCCGUUUAAAUAAGCGCAGUAUAUUUCACACGUUAUAUUUUGUUUUCUUGUUGUUUUUUUCUUCUUUCAAUCGCUGACAAGUUGCUGUCAAACUGUUAGCGUUGUGUAAUUGUGCAAUGUUUAUUCUGAAGGGCACAACCGGAAACGAAACGUUUAGCUAAAGCUAACUUCCUUCCUAGCAGCGCUAGCUAGACGCGAACAGGUACUUUAUCCCCGCUGCGUCGUCGGAGCAUCAUGUAAUACCUGGAAGGUGUCGGUGAGGUCCGACUCGGUUCGUGAACCCGUUAGUUUUUGUUACAGCCGGCUUUAGCUUUGGUUUCCGACUCGGUUUCUUCUUCGUUCCACUUAAGUCCUGUAGCUAGGGUUCCGGUUCAAACGUUGUGAUGUCGGAUGCUUUCUGACCCUGCUGAAGCAAACGCAGCACCACAAGGGUGUGGAGUUCAGUUAUGGAUCAGAAUCAUUGAUUAAGCCUGAUGACGUCAGGGGGUUGAGUGAAGCAGGCAAGAGACAGCGGGAGAUGGGGCAGUGCAGCAGUGUUUACUAAAACAGGAGGUCUCAAUGGUCUCCCCCACCGUGAAGGCUGUGGUGGAUGCUGUCUGGGCCGUGUGGAGCAUCGGGGCCUCCAUCUAUGACUACAUCCACACCAAAGCCAUGGAGGAGCGCAUUCACACCCUGGAGAACAUCAUCACCGUCCACCAGUGUGUGAUCGGGCUGCUGUCGGCGGGCGUGCUGGCGCUCUUCACAUACAUCCUCUUCAGGAAGCUCUAAAGCAGAAGAUCUGGAGCUCCACAUGAGGGGUUAACGAUGGGUGCAUUGAAGGAGGUUGGGUUUAUGUGUCGGUGGGCUUUCAGGACUCAUCGAUCCUACGAUGAGAAACUCAUCUGCACUUUUGUUUGUUGAAGUGGUUUGAAGGGAGGAGGAUCUGGUGAAAUGGGACAUGAAUGUUUUAUUUCAUCACUUGUUGCUGCAAAGCACUUUCACCUAAAUAUGGCCGCUGCAGCAAUAACUAACCAUAUUCCCAGAUCCUCCACUGAAAGGUGAUGAUAGAAAUUGAGUCACUAACAUGCACUACAAGCACUAAUAGGUCCCAGCUGGUGGUCUUCUCUAGACUGGACCAAAACGACUAAAACUCCACAAUUCCUCAGGAUAAGUCCUGGAUGGAAGCAGCAUAAAUAAAUACAAUUUCCUCCUUUUUUUACAUCAUUGAUGUGCCGCACGGUUUUAUCAGUCAGUGAUGUGUGACAGAUCGUAGAUGCAGCAUUUAUUCACUCAUUUCAUUAUUUUCAUUUAUACACCAAACACCAUUUAGAAGGUGGACAUCAUGAGUAUUACUCCAGGUUUUCUAGGCUGAAGCUGUUUACACACCUGAAUCAUUCUCGGGUAAUAAUCUGAUAUGACAGAGCUUACGUCAUCACUUUUUGCAGAACACACUAUACUUUAAAUACUGUUAGUUUUUACACCAAAAUGUAUUAGAUGAUGUGUUUUUUAUCUACUUUGACUCACUCUGCAGCCUGAUCAGUCUUCUGUAGACUGUUAAUGAGUCAGGCUUCUAUGAGUAAUAUUAAGUCCUUAAUAGGGAUAUGUAUUUUUGAAAUUCUGGCGAUACGAUACAUAUCACGAUGCAGGGGAGAUGAUACGAUACAUCACGAUAUAUUGCGAUACAUUCAGUCAGACGUAACAAGCAAUUUUUUUUACUGAAUUUAUUGUAAGAACGUUCAAUAAACAGUCCAAACUGAUACGUAACAUGUUUAACAUGAGGUAUCUGAACCAUGAUGGAGGGAUUUACAUUUCAAUGGUGGAAACAAAACCCGCUGCACACUGCUGCUAACUAGCGGGUGGCGAUUGAAUUGCGCAAAACGAAAAGAAAAUACACCAAAGUUUGCAUGUAAAUUCCAGUGUUGGGAGUAACGUGGUACAAAGGUAAUUAAUUACUGUAAUGCAUUGCUUUUUGCUGUAAUGUGGUAAUGUAAGGCAUUACAGGGAAAGAAAAUGGUAAUAUUUACUCGGUACAAUUGUCAGUAACGUGGUAAUUACGAUGCAUUUUUAAACCCAGAAUCAAGCUGCGUUUCUUAAAAAUUCAAAUUGCGGGAAACCCGAAAAAAGAUCCAGUAUCUGCAUAUAUGAUGUCAUUUAUGGACUCAGCUUUGCAGGCAGAGAGGACGCAGCGGUAACGGCUCAAAUACUCCAGCUGCGUCCUCCUUGCGGCCGCUGUAACAUUCACAAAAUCGCUCCACUAAAACAAAAUAAUUCACUUGCGAUCGUUCAUCAGCGCAUGUUCUCUGGUAUUCUGUGCUUUUCUGACGUGCUUUGCCUCAGCUGAGUUAAUCUGGGCCCCGGUGAUUUCAACUCAUUGCUGCUGGAGCGCCACGCAUGUGUAGAUCCCUUUGGCUGACUAGUUAGAAAGUAGGAAAUCUAGGAAAUGGUUUUUCUGGAAGACGGAGAAAACAUGCAGCAUGCAGGAAGGUUAGAGAGAGAAAGGGCCGGAAAUGAUUCAAAUAAAAUCAAGAAAACAAAACAAAGGGCUUGAAAAGAAAAAAGUAGGUAGAUUUAUUCCCAAUACACAUUUUUACCAGUGAAAAGCAAUAAUAUAUAAGCAUUUAAUAUUUAUACAUGUGAUAGAAUCAGAUCACCCCAGAAGUCAGUCCCACAUCCAGGGCCGUAUCAAGGCAUUUGGGGACCAAGGCAAAUAUAGGCUUGGAGCCCCCACCACCUCACUCCCUGCUCAGUUAAUCUAAGAUGGCAGCGUGCUGAGAGUACAGAUUGUUGUUGCUUUUAUUUCAUAAACAAUCCUUCUAAAGAACUGUUUUUAACAGCAAUCCUAGCUCAGACAUCACAUCACCUUCCACUGGAUGUGUCAUGAGUUCACCAGGUAUCAGAUUACCAAACUCCUACUGAAGUUGUUUUGUUGAAAGUAACUUAGAGUAAUGCAAAAGUAGUGUAAUGCCUUACAUUUUAAAAUCAGUAAUAUUGUAAUGUAAUGAAUUACUUUAAAAUGAGGGUAACAAGUAAUAAAUAAUGUAUUACAGUUUUGAAGUAACUUGCCCAACACUGGUAAAUUCUUUGAGGAAUUAGAUACACGGCUUUUGAAUAUCGAUGUAAUAAUCGCAGGAACAAAUAUCACGAUAUAUUGCCAUAUCGAUAUUUUCUUACAUCCCUAGUCCUUAAGGACUUCUAUUGACAAAAUGUCCUUUUAGUUACCUUAUUUAGAUGCUAGCAACUGGGUAGUUGUUUCUUUUGAAGGAAAGUUUUCAUCACUUAACAUCAUCAUUAGUCUUUGUGAUGAAUAUUUUGAGUUUUAUGAGGAUCAGAUGGAGGAAAGCUCUCAGGAGCGGGGGUUGGUUUAAUAAUACUGUAACAGGAUGUAAUGUUAUACCUCUGUGCAAAUGUCACUGCUCAUUCAAGUGUCCUUAAGCCUGUGAAUCUGUAGCUAACAGAUGUUUAUUAGUGCUGCUGCUCGGUUUGAUUGUUUCUUCACAAGAGGCUCUGAUUUCAGUGAGAAUACUGUUGACUAACGCUGGUUAGGUCUGUUUACUCUGUCAGUGAGAACUCCACGUGUUCAUCUCAAUAAAUGUCAUGUUGCUGAGGGACCGUCACCAUAGAAACAA
Molecule: non-coding RNA, 4106 nt
Organism: Nothobranchius furzeri (turquoise killifish)
Lineage: Eukaryota; Metazoa; Chordata; Actinopteri; Cyprinodontiformes; Nothobranchiidae
Source: RefSeq, a predicted model, not a curated record